UCCCUCCACAGAGGUAAGGAAGCUAGGCUCUUUUAUGAAAGCGCAGUGACUCUGUUGUCCACUAGAGGUCGCUUUAUGCCUGAUUUCAGAGAGCCAGCAAGACUGCAGACUUAACUCAGCUGACCUCCGCCUAAAGAGUCUUUUACAAAGCCACCUUCUCCUAGGUUCCAUGGCCCAGAGAUUGUCUAUGGAUGCCUCCAGCUCCAAUUUAUUCCACUCAGAUUCUUGAACCAAAGUUGCCAACGGCAGCCGGAGUGCAGGCAACUUCUAGUCGCCCCUCCGUCAUGCAAAAAGUUCACGAAUCUACUGACAUAUACACUGAACAAUGCGGUGUGCUAGACUCUGACGCGAGUUUGUGAAUAACCCAAACUCUCGCUGCACCCCUAAUCCCCGCCGCAGCUCGCUCGCAGGCUCUACCCGGGAACGCAGGCAACCCUCUAAUUGCUACAUUGCGAGAUAAGCUGCUGACAGGGUUUCUGUCCCACAGUUGGUUCUCACUGGGUCUCAUUUCACUGUAGAUUAUUUUAUGGAACAUCGGGCUUUAGAGAAACAAAAUAAAAUCCAGAGGCGGGUUUGUCCACAGUUGGAAAAAUCAGUGCAGGGCAUGUGUUGUUCUGGAGAUAAACGGAUUUCCAGGGUCUCCUGGCAGGUCUGAGGGUUUGUAAUGGACACCGGAGAUGAGAAGCACCAGUCCCUCUCAGUGUAUUCCCUCUUCUCUUUUCUUCAAAUGGUUUGGGUGGUUUUCUUGGGAAAGGGAGGACAUUUUCGAGAUGUUGCGGUGCAGCCCAGCCUGCCUGGUGUCUUUCCUGUUUUUUUUUUCUUUUCAUUUUUAUUUAUUAUUAUUUUUUAAUUGCAGUGCUAGCGUUUUGAACCCACAUACGUGCAAGGCAAGCAUCCUACCACUGAGAUACAUUCCUAACCCCUGCUUCCCUCUGCCCCCCUUUUUUUUUUUUUUGCUCUUUCCCCUCAGAUUGUAUGUCAACCUAUGUAUCUCGGAGGCAAGCUCUCUCACCCAGAAGCCUGAGGUCAAGGAAGUCAGAGUAGAACUGGGAAGAAAAGAUAGAGAAACACAAAUUGCAAAAGGCAGUCGCGAUAUGUUUAGGACAGAUGUCUGGGGGGCUAAAAGGUCCUCCCUUCCUCCUUCCUUCCUUCCUUUCUUCCUUCCUUCUUCCCUCCCUUCCUUCCUUCCUUCUGGAGAAUUCCAAGAUGAACCCUCAACUCACCCUGUGGGCUUUCUCUGUAAGGGGUGCUCUCAAGGAGACAGAGGAGGGUAAAACUCUCUCGGUGCUUAGUGGUCAUUCUUUUGAGCUUGGACAAGGGGCUCUAAGGACCAGGUGCUCGACAUUCCUGAGAAGCACUUCUGAGUCAGAGCCCCAGAAACAGCUGAGGCAGCUUUGGGCUGCAGUCUUGGCUCUCUCUCCUCUCUUUCUAUCCAAAAGCAACUCUCUCCCUAGCUAUUUGGAUGUGACCAGAAACCCAAGCAAAGACCCGAGGUAGGAGCGUGGCUCAGCCGAAGUCUAUAAAACGGAUUUGGUCUCUGCAUCCCGUCUAGAGGUGCAGCUGUGUGGUAAAGGCUUGUCUGUAUCCAGGGACCUCUGUAGUAGGAAGUCCAAGGGGUUGGUGGAAACAGCCUAGUGCCCACAGGUCCUAACUCCCAAAGUAGCUAUUGUUGGGCUGCCUCUGGGAAGGGGGGUCAUAAUUAAGACUUGGCUUGAGUUGAGACAGCAUCAUUCCCUGGGAAACCUGCCAGCGCCUCCUCACUGCCUGGGCGUGGGGCCCGGGACAUGCCACAGCAAUGCCAGAGAGCUGACUCAGGGAGGAGGCAUGGAGGGGAACAGAAAAACCCUUCCUACCCAUCAGCCAAGAGCGGAGACAAGGCACGCUGGGAUAGCCCUGCAGUGCCAGACCAGACCACCAACAAGUUUCGUGUCGGGUCGGCUCUUAGGAAUAUAGUCUCACGAAGCUCCAUACUGCUUCGGGUCACCAACGGACAGCAAGUGGCUGGCCCCUGGUCUCUUAGUUCCCGUCUUCGUGCAAGGAUGCGCCGUUCUAGGUUGCUCCGGUGAUGGAUUCAGGCCUGUUCGGAUCACUUUUAGAAGGCUGUAAGCUUGGGCAAGACACUUACUCUAGUGAGACUAAGAUUCUUUGUUUUUCAGAUGGAUGCUUCACAGGGCUGCAGCAAGGAUCCAAUGAGAUAAUGUCUACAAGGGCACCCGGUGUAGUUAAAACACGCAUUUCCGGGGGCUGGAGAGAUGGCUCAGUGGUUAAGAGCACUGACUGGUCUUCCAGAGGUCCUGAGUUCAAUUCCCAGCAACCACAUGGUGGCUCACAACCAUCUGUAAUGAGAUCUGAUGCCCUCUAAUGACGUGUCUGAAGACAGCUACAGUGUACUCAUAUAUAAUAAAUAAAUCUUAAAAAAAACCAAAAACACAUUUCCAAUAGGGUAUCUUUAUGGACAUGGUUAAUCCUGACACAGGGAUUGUAACCUCUGAACCCUAAAAUCUUCCUCUUUGCUUUUUUUUUUUUUUUUUUUAAUCUCAGCAAGAUGCUCUGGGGCAAGUGUUGAAAUCCCGAUCCAGUCCCGGGUGCAGAAGCCUCGACCGAGGCAGCUUCUUGGUGCUGCUGUGCACCGAGGGCCGCCCUGAGCUGCUACUCCAGCCCCAGCUCUGCUAAACCGGUUCUUUCCCUUUUAGUCAGACGCCUGCAGUUCGGUUUGCCUGCAGCGAUGACAAAGGAACCGAAGAUAGCCCCAGCUCUACAGCAGCGCUGGAGACUGGGCUUGGGCAGAGUGCGUGGCCCGUCACCCACAGGCCUGUCUGGGCGUCCCAGCCGGGUGCAGCCCUGACCCCUUAGGGUCUUGUCUGCCUUUCCUUUCUGCAGUCCUCGGAUGACAAUGUCUCCUGUCAGCACUCUGGGUGGUGGUGAGCUGGAUGACUGCCUGGAAAGCUGUCUUGGCUAGAAGGUCCGUGCGAGGGAGACUAUGUUCCUUCUACCAGUGUGGCCCCCUUGCUCCCUUGGACCCCCUCUUUAUGCCAAGAGGCCAGAAGGGAAGCUUCCGGAAGGAUAAAGGACACUCUUCGUUCUUAUCAUUUUGUAAAGCACUUCCACUCUGGUUGGACUGUGACAGUUCCAGAAACUAAAGCAAUUCCCCAAACCUAGCAACAUUCCAGAGAUAACAGAGUGCAUAGUCACUGGAUUGGAGCCUUCCCUGAAGAAGCACAGCUGUUUCUGAGUCACUCCACGGAACUACGCUUUUGCCUCAGGCCUCAGACGGUGCUGCAUCUCGGCUUGAGUUCCUACCCCAGAACAAAGCCUGACCCAACCUCCUGCGUGACUUUGUUGCUGUUCACCCUCAGUUCUCACUCAAAACUUCAGCUCUACUCCCAACCUUGAAUUUGACCACCAUUGCUGGAACUCCCUCCACAGACCAGGCUGGCCCGGAACUCAGAGAUUUGCCUGCCUCUGUCUCUUGCAUAAUGGGAUUAAAAGUGUGCACACCA
This is a long non-coding RNA of Rattus norvegicus (Norway rat), 3500 nucleotides long. RefSeq lists it as uncharacterized. The record is from RefSeq and is a predicted model, not a curated record. Lineage: Eukaryota; Metazoa; Chordata; Mammalia; Rodentia; Muridae.